Molecule: long non-coding RNA, 5871 nt
Filed under: Cricetulus griseus (Chinese hamster)
Lineage: Eukaryota; Metazoa; Chordata; Mammalia; Rodentia; Cricetidae
Description: lncRNA (ENSCGRG00015038113.1)
Source: RNAcentral
CAAGAAGGAAGUGGGCCCCUUCUCUCUUCCUCCAGAGUCACCAUGUGAGCCCAGGAAGACAGGAUGCUUGUCACUGGCAUCCAAUGAGAUAAGUCUUAUAAAAUAUAUAGAUUUAUGAUCAUUAAGACUGAACUAGCAGAUGAGAAAUCGUAGUCAUUGGCCAAGCAGCAUUUGUACCUAAUGUCUCUGUAUAUUAUUUUGGCCACACAUGUGGUGGGCAGAACUCAAGUGGCUGGCAGAAGAUUAAUCAUAACAGGAGGGGGAGGCUUAGUCCAAUGGAAACUCCAUGGAACCUAUGAGAGUAAUCCUAGCAAAGACUACUAGUAGUGGGGGACAUGGAACAUGUACUGGCCAUCUCCUAUAAGCAGGAAAGGCCUCAAGUGGAGGGAUUGUAACACCAACCAAGUCACAAACCCUUUGACCUACACUUUUCCUGCCUAAAGAGUAUUCUGGGACUAGAGCAUAGCAGAAUCCUCAUCAAAGAGACCAGAAAAACUUCAUCCAGCAACUGAUGGAAGCAGAUGCAGAGUCCAAUGGACAAAUAUUAGGGGGAUCUCCAGGAGUCCUGUGGAGGAGGCGGAGGAAGGAUCAGAGGAACCAGAGGUGUCAGGGACACCAUGAGAACAUGACCCACAGAAUCAACUGUCAGUAACUCAUGGGGGCUAAUAGAGAGCAAGGUGCCUGUAGGGGUUGGACCUAGGUCCUCAGAGGCUGACUUUCUGGGUGUUGUGGGAUUCCUACAGUGGGAGCAGAAUGGUUGGUUACCAACUAUUAAACAUACUCAUGGAACUCUUUCCCUCCUACUGGGUUGCUUCCUCCAGCCUUGAUUUGAUGGCAUGUGCCUGGUCUUAUUAUGCCAUAUUUGGUUGGUAUCCCUGGGAGGCCUGCUCUUUUCUGAGGAGAGAUGGAAGGGGUGUGGAUCUGGAGAAGAGAGGAGAAUUGGGGGAAAGAUUCGGGGGAGGAGAUGGAGGGGAAACUGUGGUUGGGAUGUACUAUAUGAGAGAAAAAUAAUAAUUAAAAAGAAAUAAAAGUCUGGCAUUCUUAACCAUCACAGAAAUGAAAAAAAGAAUGCUAAUUUUCUCUACUUAAUAUUCUCACAGAAACUGUUGCAAAAUAGUUCACAUUGGCGCCUGAGUGAUUCUCAAAGGCAGUUGAAAUUCUCAAAGGCCUUUGAUUUGGAAAAUAAACACACUGUUAUAAUAUUAUGUACUAUAUAGGAAGAAAUAUGCCUUUGAAGAUGAACUGUGGUGGUAUCUUGGUGGGAACUUCUGAUUUAAUUGGUUUAGGUUCUGGAAGGAGAGCUAUUUAUAUAUGUUAUACUUGUACUAACAAAAUGUUAGAAUAAGUAUUAUAACUAAAAAAAUAAAAACACAAUGACCUUGUGCUAAAGGUUUGUGCAACAAGUAUUUUAUAUGGUAGGAAGGUCAUUGCAGAAACAAACUGCUAGAAAUAUAUUGUAAGUUGGGUGGAUGAAUCAAUCAUUCAGGGCAUUAAGAUACUGUUCCAGGGUUUUUUUCCAACUUAUCAGACAAUGUAUAUCAUGGCUGUUUCCAAAUGAUUUAUGUUGGAAAAGGAAGAAACUGUGAGAAUUUUACCUCAUUGAAUAGGUUUUAUUUAUGUGGAUCUAGGUGUGAAGGUCAGUGGUAGAGUGCUUGCCUAGAAUAAACAGGGUCCUGAAAAGAUUUAAUACCUAAUAUGUGAGGUAUUCAUCACACUUGUUAAAACAUUAAUAGUAUCUAUAAGUCCCUAAUGGUAAAUCUUUUUCUUUAUGUGGUUAGUCUGAAAUGUUAUAUUUGUACAAGUAUUCUAAAGAGGUAGCAUUCCAGACAUUUAUGUUCAAAAAAGAUGAUGGUAGGCUGUGUGAACUAAGUCAAUACCAUCAUGUGAAUCUUCUGGUGUGAGAUAACCCCUAACUCACAUGUUUACUGCUUAAUAAAAAUUGAUAUAUUGUUCAAGAAGGCAUUCUCAAAAUACAAUAUAGACAAUUAAAAAGUAAAAUAAAUGAAACAGAUUUAUUAUUCAAGAACUAAUAUAAAUAUAAUUGGAAUAGCUAUGAUGUGAAGAAAGAAACUAGGGCUGAAGAGAUGGCUCAGAGGUUAAGGCAUUGAUUGCUCUUCCAGAGGUCAUGAAUUCAAUACCGAGCAACCACAUGUUUGUUCACAACCAUCUAUAAUGAGAUCCAAUGCCCUCUUCUGGUGUGCAGGCAUACAGACAGACAGGCACUAUAUAGAUAACAAAUAAAUAAAUAAAUCUUUAAAAAAAAAGAAAGUAGAAUUAAAGUCAAAAGAUACUAAUUGAGAAAAAUAAACAAUAAUUUACAUGGAGAAGAGAACCAGGCAGUAAAUCAAUUCAGGUGGGAAAAUUAUUUCCACACAAUUAAUAAUAAAAAAACCCUAAAAACAUGUAAAACCAAAAUAACAAAAUGAAGGAGAAACAGAGUUAUCAAUGAUCAAAGUAGGGGCUUCUAUACUGUUUUCCAAUAAUUGUUAAAAUAAAUAAAUGCUAAGAAUAUAUGCAUAUACAUAAAUAAAUAACAAUGAAUUGUCAUGGAACAAAGCCUAUUCGGUAAUCAUCAAAUACAUGAACUCUACAUGUUUCUUCUAAAGUACAUGAAAAUAUAUAUUCCACUGAGCCAGAAAGCUGCUAGUAAUAAGAGAGUCUGUAUCUUAGCCAGUAUUCUAUUACUGUGAAGAGACAUCAUGACUAAGUCAACUCUUAUGAAAAAAGCAUUUAAUUGUAAGCUUCCAUACAGUUUCAGAGAUGUAAUCCAUUAUCAUCAUUGUGGGGAGCAUGAAGGCAUGCAGGCAGGUGCUGGAACAGUAGCUGUGAGCUAUAUUCUACCAUGGGCUGAGGGAGUAAGUGACACACUUUCUCCAAUAAGGCCACAUCUAAUCCUUUUCAAAUAAUGUCAAACUCUAUUAUGAGUCAGCAUAACUAUACUAUUUAUAGUUCUUGGGAUUUGUGCAUAUUUUGUCACAUAGAAUUUUAAUAAAACUAUAGUAUACCAAAUCAAGAUGGUUAAUUAUAAUUUCAUACAAAUUACACUAAUUCAAAAGUUUCACAAUUCAUAUUCUUGGUAUUAUUUUGAUAUUUGUUUACACACUGGUUUCAGUUGUCUUCAGGGAAAGUGAAACUGCUUUCAAAUGUUUGUGACAUUGGUAUCAAAGAAUCUAUAAAAUUGUUGUUUAUACUUAUAAAAACUAAAAUGCAAAUUAAAAAACUAAAAUACAAAGCUAAUAUGGAAAAACUAAGCAUUCAAAUAUAUGAGACUAUGGGGGCCAAUCUCAUUCAAAAUACCACAUUCAACUGUCCAAUAGACUUGAAGCCAUGCCAUAAUGUUAAAAAAAAUCAUUCAGUCAAAUUAAAAAAUCCCCACAGUCUAUCAUAGUCUCAACACUGUUUAAAAGUCCAAAGUUGAGUCUGUUCUGAGACUCAUGACAAUCUCCUAAAUAUAUCCUCCUGUAAAAUCAAAAUCAAAAAGCAGAUCACAUACUUCAGACAGAAAGGGAGAGAGAGAAACACUGAUUAAUUUGAAUGAAUUUUGACCACAGAAAAGAUAUAUCUAGAAAAUUCAAAUUGCUUAAAAAAUAAUGAAUUUCAAAAUAGCCCAAGAGUGAAAAGGCUAUCAAAUGGAAAUUAGAAAGUUAGCACUGUUAAGUUUAAGCUGAAUAAUAAUGAAUGUGUAGCAUGUUAAGACUUGUGAUGAACUUGUAGAGAUCUGAUUGAUUAUAAUGAUAUUUAUUUCUUUAAAUGAAUAUAUUAAAAAUAAUUGCCUGAAAUUUAUUCAUAGAAUACUUACCUCAAGAAAAUAAAUGAAACAUCCAAGAAAAUAGAAUAACAGAAGUAGCAAAAUGUAAAAAUGAAAACAGUAAAGAUGAACACCAUUUUUAAAUAAUGAUUUACAUUUGUGUGUGUGUGUGUGUGUGUGUGUGUGUGUGUGUGUGUGGGUGGGUGUGUGGGUGUGUGUGUGCACGCGCGCGCAUGUACACACAUGUCUGUGCCACUAUCUAUAUGAGAAGUCCAGUGAACAAUGUUCAGGAGUCUGUUCUCUCCUGCCAACAUGUAAAUCCUGGGCAUCAAACUCAGGUCCUUGGCAGCAACCAACUUUACCAUCUCUCUACUCAAAACUGAACAUUUGAAUGCAGAUGUUCCCUCAAAUGUGAUAGAUUUACUUCUUGAUAAUUCCACUGUUAGUUUAAAUAAAAACACAUUUGUUACACCUAACUUCCAAAUAUCACAGUGUACCCUAGACUACAAGAAGCUCACAGAAAAGUUACAUUAGGAUACAGUUAGGCAAAAAAACAACAGGCAGAAUGCUUAUCUUAUGACAAAAUAUUUAGCAUUUCAUGCUUGUUGUUAAGUAUUAUACUGUAAGUAGAAAUCAGAAUGACUGUAAGAAUGUUCCCUGUUACUAUACCAACUGAGAACACAUUGACCUGAAAGAUAUGUGAAGCACUGAACUAAAUUGGCUCCAGGAUGAUGCAGGUAUUCAGCAGUGGGUACAUCCAUCAGUGACUGGUAGCUGCAUUUGACUCUCAUGCCGAGCAUCUUAAGCACAAAUAACUAUCCAGAAAAUAGAUCAAAUGGGAAAGCUCAUGGUAGCACUAUCAUUAAAUGAAAACAACAUAAGUCAAGCUAUAAUAAAUUUGGGGAAAUUGCUAUAAUCUAAUAUCUAAAGAUGGUCUCUAAAAUAAGAAGAGAGAAAGAAAGAACUAAUUAAAACUUUAAAACAUGGAUAUACAAAUCACCUGUUUAGAGAAUUAAGAAAAAAAGUAUGGAGAGCAUGCAUUUAUAAAAGGACAUGAUGAAUGUUUACAUAAAUAAAUCUGAAACUAUAUAAGAGACUGAAAGGAAAAUUUAAAAAAAAUUAUCUACAAAGAAAAAAUAAAAAAUGUGAAUAUUUCUUAUGGAUUAAAAAGUUUUUAAUCUGUACAAAUAUUCUUUAUUCAAGGAACUUUACCAGUAAAAUGCCAUAUGACUCAAACUUAGAACAAAAAAAGAUAUUUUCAACUGCUUUUUAAUGCCACAAUAAACUUAGAAUCAUUUUACUUUCUAACAAAAUAUCAAGUCAACCCAAAAAGCCAAUAGAAGAAAUAGGGCUUCACAACUAAGCUAAGUUCAUCUCAUGAUUUCAAUGUGGAGAUAUAUUUAAAAGUCAAAUAGGCCUCUAGGAAGAUGGAACAGAUGCAGUCUUCUAUAUUUCUCCUUGCUCCCCAAAGAUGCUAUCAUCCACCAAACAACAGGAAGCAGUCUAGAGAACACAAUCCCCACAUUCUCAAGAGAGCCUUCUUUCCAGCACCAAAGACAACAUGCAGAGAGUAACAGACUGAGUGGUUGUUAAUCCCAAAAUGAAAGGAGAAAGACCACCAACACAAAUCAUGAUGUCCAAAUUAAUUAAAGCAAGCAAUUAAGUAAAGCAAGUGGUUUUAUUUGUGUACAUGGCUGCCUCACCAUAAGGCAGGGUUCAAAAGGACAGCAUUGGAUGUGGAAAAGCUUACUUGAAAUGUUGACAUUAUUGGAAAAAGCCACCAAAACAACAACAACAAAAAAUACCACAGAUAAUAAAAAUGCCCCUAUUAUAAAGGAAUUUAUCACAUCAAAGUUAAUGAUUUUUCAUCCAGUAACAAUGCCACUCUUUGGCUGUCAAGUUAACUCAGUUUCAAUUUAACUGAACCACUCUAUCAUCCCAUCAGAGUCACAGACAGAGACGAAUUAAGGUGAUUCACAGGCUGAGCAUACUAUGUGCCCUGGAUACGAAUUGAUCAUCAGUCCUCACUUUCUCCUUCUACCUGCCUCCUUCCCUCCAUCCCUCUCUCACUUUCUCAUUAUUUUGAGUUAUACUUUUUAUUGCAACAAUGUAUUAUCCAAUUU